RNAcentral lists this ribosomal RNA (377 nucleotides) under uncultured bacterium. RNAcentral's name for it is "bacterial SSU rRNA". It matches the Rfam family "Bacterial small subunit ribosomal RNA", at positions 523 to 898 of the family's 1533-position model. The record is from RNAcentral.
AUACAGGGGGUGCAAGCGUUAAUCGGAUUGACUGGGCGUAAAGGGUGCGUAGGUGGUUAUUUAAGUUAGAUGUGAAAUAUCCGGGCUUAACCUGGAGGGGUCAUCUAAAACUGGAUAACUAGAGUUCACUAGAGGGUAGUGGAAUUUCCGGAGUAGCGGUGAAAUGCGUAGAUAUCGGAAGGAACACCAGUGGCGAAGGCGGCUAUCUGGAGUUGAACUGACACUGAGGCACGAAAGCGUGGGUAGCGAACAGGAUUAGAUACCCUGGUAGUCCACGCUGUAAACGAUGAAUACUAGCUGUUGGAUAGCGACGACUAUUUAGUAGCGCAGUUAACACGAUAAGUAUUCCGCCUGGGGAUUACGGUCGCAAGAUUAAA